Molecule: ribosomal RNA, 506 nt
Filed under: uncultured bacterium
Lineage: Bacteria
Description: partial 16S ribosomal RNA
Rfam family: Bacterial small subunit ribosomal RNA
Source: RNAcentral
AUUGAACGCUGGCGGCAGGCCUAACACAUGCAAGUCGAACGGCAGCACAGAAGAGCUUGCUCUUUGGGUGGCGAGUGGCGGACGGGUGAGUAAUGUCUGGGAAACUGCCCGAUGGAGGGGGAGAACUACUGGAAACGGUAGCUAAUACCGCAUAACGUCGCGAGACCAAAGUGGGGGACCUUCGGGCCGCAAACCAUCGGAUGUGCGCAGAUGGGAUUAGCUAGUAGGUGGGGUAAUGGCUCACCUAGGCGACGAUCCCUAGCUGGUCUGAGAGGAUGACCAGCCACACUGGAACUGAGACACGGUCCAGACUCCUACGGGAGGCAGCAGUGGGGAAUAUUGCACAAUGGGCGCAAGCCUGAUGCAGCCAUGCCGCGUGUAUGAAGAAGGCCUUCGGGUUGUAAAGUACUUUCAGCGGGGAGGAAGGCGGUGGAGUUAAUAACUUCACCGAUUGACGUUACCCGCAGAAGAAGCACCGGCUAACUCCGUGCCAGCCGCCGCCGUAA